Molecule: long non-coding RNA, 261 nt
Filed under: Brassica napus (rape)
Lineage: Eukaryota; Viridiplantae; Streptophyta; Magnoliopsida; Brassicales; Brassicaceae
Description: long non-coding RNA (BNAP_LNC001741)
Source: RNAcentral
UUCAGUACUGAUAUCAUUGUACUCAGAUGCUCUAUGCAUCUGUUCCCACGCCCGCUCUCUCCCCUGGUCGACAAAGGGUUGGGUGUAACUGGGAUGAUCAGCUUUCAAGUGAUUCUUAAGCUGAGAAUAUGUCCCAGAUCAGAAAUUGCAGUUCUCGAAAGCGCAAGACCUCGGUUUAGCAUUUAGAGCUCUCCUUCCAUCCGGCUGCACCUUCAUCGCCUCAUAGACCUUUCCUCUGCAGUAAAGACAGUCAUGACCUUG